Mercenaria mercenaria is the source of this 6806-nucleotide long non-coding RNA. RefSeq lists it as uncharacterized. The record is from RefSeq and is a predicted model, not a curated record. The transcript has 7 exons. Lineage: Eukaryota; Metazoa; Mollusca; Bivalvia; Venerida; Veneridae.
UGCAUUUUGGCCAAAUUAUGCCCCCUUUUGGACUUCGAAAAUCCUGGUUAAAGUUUUGUGUGCAAGUACAUACAGCUAUUACUUAAAGGCAUAUAGAUUUGAAACUUAUUUUUUAUUUUUCUAGAUCAAUUACCAACCUCACUGGAUCAAUUCCCAUAACUCUGACAUGUAUUUUGGCCAAAUUAUGCCCCCUUUUGGACUUAGAAAAUUCUGGUUAAAGUUUUGCGUGCAAGUUACUGUCUGCAGAACAAAUGCAGAUAUUAAAUUUAAACUUCACAUGUGCCUUCAGGGUUAUAAAACUUGCUGAUUGCAUCAAGUCCCAUAACUCUGACAUGCAUUUUGGUCAAAUUAUGUCUCCUUUUGAGCUUAAAACUUCUGGUUAAAGUUUUGCAUGCAAGUUACUAUCUCUAAAACUAAUGCUGAUACUGGAUUGAAACUCUAUAGAUAUUUUUACAUUUAGGGUAACAUUUUCCUGCUUCUGGGACAAUAAUUCGAAUAGUCCAACAUUGGCUGUCUUACGGACAGCUCUUGUUCUAUACAUUAUUUCUUAAUUUCAACCAGAAUACUUAAACGUUAUUGACAAAUAAAUGUAUCAGUGGUAACAGACUUUUUUACUCUUAAGACCUCAUCCUGAAAAAUUAGUAUAUUUGUUUAAGUUUAGGUCUUUUGAUGAUUAAAAUGUUUGUAAAUCUGAUAUAUUUUGAUGAUGAUUUUUUGUAUUUUGAACUAGUAGAUGUGUUGGAAAUUCUCCUGUUGCUUGUGCAGGAAGUUAUGCUGAUAAUGAUGUAGGUGGCGCUGCUGCAACAGGUGAUGGUGAUGUCUUGAUGAGAUUUCUUCCAAGAUGCAGUAAUAGAUCUGAAAAUGUAGGCCUGUACAUGAGACAGAUCUGUUCCAUAUCGGGACUUUGAUAAGAACACACAUAUUAGACAGAGAAUAUGUAUUCAGAGUUUCUGCAGCAGUGAUAUUUAGACCAAUUCACAGUGUGACUGAGAUCGUGUGAUAUAUAGAUCCAGAAGGAGCCCCCAGACAUGUGAAAGUAGAGAGCCUCACUACAUCAUCAGUCAAGGUCAUCUCGGAGCACCUUCUGCUACACCAGUCAUCUUGAAUUCUACAGAAAUACAGGUGACCUCCCCUGGGUACCACUGAAAACACAGGAUGGAAACCUGUAUGGAUACAGGGUAUCUCAUUGGUAUGGAACAGACCUGAGUGUGAACAGUAAUUGAUCCUUGUUGGACUUGGUAUCCACACAGGAGAUACCUUCAGUGUACAGGCUAUAUAUGGUUGGAGAGGGACAAAGAGGGAGUGAAGUCAAAAAUGAGAAAACUUUGGAAGGAUGUUAGUGCUCUAAUGAAGGUUCUGUCAUGCCCAAAUUUUGGUGGCCUAUUGAAACCAGAAAUAACACUUCAGUGAUAUUGUAAUGGAACCAGUUGUAGCAGUUGUAAAUUUUGGCAGCAGGAAAACCAAUAUUCAUUCUUAAUAUAGAACCUCUGGAGCAGACAAGUUGUCAACAUUACAGAUCCAUUCAAAGUAUGGUGACAGUUGCAGAGUCUCAAGUCUAGAGAGAACAUUGGCAGAUCUUGGAAUUUGUCCCAAGAUUUAAGUUUAAAUAUGAUUGUGACUGUAGACUGCAUGUAUAUUGUUUCAAUCAGAGGCUUUUUCCUGCUUUUGUAUCUUAUGGAAAACAUAAUAAAUUAUUAUCAAAGUAUAGGAAAUAAUUCUAUUGACAACAAGUUUUUAUUAAAAAGCAAAGAAACUUUAGGUUUUGUUGUUGACAGGUUUUUGGAAUUUACUGUAGAAGUGACUGUAUCAUGUUUAGAAUUUAGAAUUAUAAAAGGAGAAUUUUUCAUAUGAUUGUAUUAUUUUUUGGUCACAUGACCUUCUUGUACAUAAGAAAAUUGAAAUAGUUUAAAGCACCAUUAACCUUCAAACUUAAAGGUGGUUAAUCAGUUGUUUUUAAAACUUAAACAUUUGAUGUAAUAUCUAACAUUUAGCACUCAAUAGAAGUUAAUUUUUAUUAGAGGUGUUUUCCUAUCAUAGUUGCCCAACCAAGAUCCAACAAAGAUAAGAAUAGAAAUGACAAAUAUACUUUGCCUAAGGAAAGAUAUAAAUACAAAUAUUGUAUUUGUAUAAACCAUUACCCUGCUAAAUUUCUAUAAUAAACUUGUUAAUCUUUCAAUUUGGACAGUACCAUUAACUGUUAAAAGGGGUGCUUACCAAAAAAGAUAUUGACUGAAUGGCGACCAGUGUAGACAGAUGUGCAGGCUGAUCAUGAUCUACACUGGCAAAGGCAGAAUCAAUUGUGUCCAGCAUUAUAAGAAUCAAUCGUGUCCAGCAUUAUAAGGGUUAACAGCUAUUUGUUACAUGUUUUUCAUUGAUUUCUCUAUAAUAUUAGAAUGAAAUAUAUUUGGUAUUUUCACAGUGGAAAAUGUACAUUUUUCAGUGGUAAGAAACUAUAAAAUGGGUGAAUUUAAAUUUAUCGGUAGUCAAAACAUGAAAUGAAUUGUUUAUUUUACAUGUUAAAUCAAAAUAUCUUCCAUUCGUGAACACCAUAUCUUACAUUUUCACUUGUUGCUAUGCCACUUGUGAAAAUAAUGCAUCUAGUGUUCACUCAUGAAAGAUAUUUCAAUCUGAAACAAACUACCGUAGAUACCCAUGUAUUAUGUGCAGUUUUUUUACCCCCCGGGACCACCCCAAAUCGGGGGUGAUUAUUAUACACAGGUACACAAUUUUCCAGCUUCAAAACAAGUUUGUUUAGGUUACAGUUUUUGCCAUUUUGGUAAAGGGAAACUACUCUUUGCGCUUACUGCCAACGUUAAAAUCUAAGAUUGCCGCUACUUUCCAUAAAAGAUUGAGUGGUUUAUUUUUCUUUCAAACAAAAUUUACUUCAUACAAAUUUAAUAGUAUUUUGAAGAAAGAAAUGUAAAAAAAUCACAAAUAGUAUGAUACUAAUUAAAGAUAAAGUAUUAUCUUUAACUGAGAUGAAACUGUGAAUUACAAAAUUGACAGACGGUGACAUGCUAAUUGCCGAGGCCAUUUGAUCGUAACAAAAAGACAGUCACACUUUUUGUUAUCGGUUUGAAUUGAGAAGCUCAUUUCAUUUCUUGAAAGAUACCAUUCUGAAAUAUUGAAACCAUUGCUUUCUAUUUAUUCAAAAUAUUUAAUUAAAAAAAAGAAACAACAAACAUAACAAAAACACAUGAUUUCAUAAAAAUCAAUUUCUGAUAUUUUAUACAAAUUAAAUAAAGAUAUUUUGAAGAUCUUUAAAAAAAAUCCUAUUACCUCAGAGGUUUUUAGAAUGAUAUAUGAUGAAGGUAUUUUAAAAUAUUUAACCUUUAGCCUGCUUGAGGCAAGUGACUCUGCCUUUACGACCAAGAUCAGCAUGCACAAACCUGCAGUCAGUAAAUUUUCAGCGAACACCCCUUAUAAUAAAUGGUACUGCCAUAAUUGAGCGAUAGACAAGUCUGUUUUAGAAAUUUAGCAGGGUAAAUGUUAAAGAGAAAAUAAAUAGUCCAUAAAAAUAUUUUUAUUUAUAUAUAAAUAUUCUGCAUACGGCAAGAGGACAUUACCCUCUAUUAUUGGACAAAACCGUAAAAAGGCUGAGCCUAAAUCCAAUAAUUUGAUUAAGGUCCUUAAAUUUUAUAUUGGGUGGAAUUAACAGGAAUUAUUAUUUCUUACUUUGUGCAAAUUUUAUCAAAGAGGACACCUUUUGCAAAAAAAAGUGUUUUCAUAGUUAUUAAAUCACCAAAUUAAUUUUUGUAAUAUAUUAAAAUAUGGAAAAUAUAGUUCAGUUUGAUCAAAUUUUAUUUUGUCAUGUUACCUUAUUGACAUAUAAGAUAUUUAAUAAUGUUUCAGAUAGUGUAUUUGUAAAAUGAUUAGAAUACAUGCCAUUGUUUGAUUUAACAGUUCUUUAUAUAUUUAUUUUGAAUGUUCUUUAUUUUUGAGAACCAAAUGUAAGUUAUACCAUUUUGUUAAGGUUUUCAGGGAUAGUAUUAGAUGUAAUACUUGUCUUGUCUGACUUUCAUAUUUUGCAAUACAAAUAUUGAUAUGUAAGAAUAACAUGUACCACUUUUCUUCACAAUAUGAUACAGCAACUGGUAUUUCAUAACUCAAAAAGCUGAAAGACUUUGUCUGGCCCAUAUUUAAAAACAUAUAUUUUAUUUUUGGCUUGCUUUGGGAUGAAAACAAAUGUUUGUAUCUGUCUUGUCAUAUUUUUAGCUCACCUGUCACAUAGUGACAGGGUAAGCUUUUGUGAUCGCAUUUUGUCCUGGUCUUUCGUUCACAAUUUCAUGUAAACACGAUAGAGACCACAUUUUACAAUCAACUUUAAUCAAACUUGCACACAACUUGUAUUAGCAAAAUAUCUGGGUUCCUUUCGAAAACUGGCCAGAUCCCAUCAUGGGUUCCAGAGUUUCUAUUUUGGCACUUUCAGCCAUAAAGGUUUCAUUUGUGCUUUGAUUUGAUAUAAACUUGCACAGAAUGAUUAUCUUGAUGAUCUCUAGGCCUGGAUUAAAACUGGGUCAUGUUGGGUCAAAAACUAGGUCAUCAGGUCAAAUCAUAGGAAAAGCUUGUUAACAACCUAGAGGCCAUAUUUAUGACCCUAUCUUCAUGAAACUUGGUCAGAUUGUUUAUCUUGAUGAUUUCUAGGCCAGUUUUGAAUCUGGGUCAUGUGGGGUCAAAAACUAGGUCACCUGGUCAAAUCAAAUGAAGUGCUUGUUAACACUGUUGAAGCAACAUUUAUGAGCCUAUCUUCUUGAAACUUUGUCACAAUGUUUAUCUUGAUGAAUUCUAAGCUAACUAAUGGGUUCAAAAACUAAGUCACCAGGUCAAAUCAAAGGAAAAGCUUGUUAACACUCUUGUUCAUUUGAUGUGCAUGAAACUUGGUCAGAAUGUUUGUCUGUAUGGAAUAUCGAAUGAAUUUUUAUCUAGGUCAUGUAGGGUUAAAAACUAGGUCUUCAGGUCAACUCGAAGAAUAAGCUUGUUUACACUCAAGAGGGCACAUUUUUUGGUCCAGUCUUAAUGAAAAUUGGUCAGAAUAUUUGUCUCUAUCAAAUCACUAGGUAAAACAUGUUUACAUUGUUAUUGUGUGUUACUCAAGUGAGCGACAUAUGGCCAUCUUGGCCCUCUUGUUAGCUCUUCUGAGCACAAAGUGGUCAAAAUGUGCUGUUGUGAUCACCCUGUGUCUGUUGUUGUUGGUGCAUGGUCCAAUCAUCAACAGUUUGACUGUUAACACAUUAGAGGUCACAGUUUUAGCCCAGUCUUAAUGAAACUUGGUCAGAUUACCUGUGGUGAAAGACUAGGUCACUAGGUCAAAUCAUAGAAUGUCUGAGAUUGUUUUUCUUUGAGAAAUCUAGAGUAAGUUUAAAACUGGGUUACAUGAGGUCAGAACUGGUUUGAUCUUCAUCAGACUUGGUCUGUAGUAUCACUGUUAGGUCCUUUGCCAAAUUUAUAUAUAAAGUGGGGACACUAGACCUUGUUCUAGGGACCAUUAGAGCUAAAUGUAGAAAAACUUGUGAACCGCUUCUUGUCAUUUACCCCUUUAUAGAUCUUCAUUAAUCUUGGUCUUCAGUAUCAUUAUAAGGCUCUCACGCAAUCUUGUUAAUAAUGGGGGCACUCUGUCCCUCGUAGGGGCCAAUACAGACUAGCCAUUAGACUGAUAAUCAAAACUUCUACACAGAAUUUAUGCUUUUGUAAUUUUUCUUUUAUUCUGUGUAAUAGUGACAAAAGCCAGUCUAUUUUAGAUAUUUUUUCUCACAGAACUGAUUGUUAUAUUACAAUUAUGAUACUGGAUAUAGACUGGCUACAUUCACAGUUUUAAAAACAAAAAUUAAGAAAAAAAUACAUAUCAUAGUCUAGGAGCUAGUCUAGGGCCAAAAGAGCUUUAAAUAGAAAUACCUGUAAACAACUUCUUCCCAGGAACUACUUAGUGGGACUUCAUCAUACUUGGUUUGUAGCAUCAUUAGACGAUUCUCUUGCAAAUAUGUGGGCCUCCAUGGCCGAGUGUUUAUGGUCACUGAAUUUGAAUCACUUGGCACUCACCGCUGUGGGUGCAUGCCUCACUUGGGACAUAGAAUUCUUCAUGUGAUGGCGCAUAGAACUCUUGGCUUACAAAAGGUUGGUAGUUUUAUCCAAGUGCCCACAUGUGAUGAUUAAUGCACAGUAAGGUCUAAAGGUAACUGCUCUUCACAGGUGAGUGACUUCUGCCCAUUUAGGCUUUUUGUUACCAAUUUUUGCUGUAAAAUUGUGCUGAAAUGUUCCUUUUCUAUCAAAUCUACCAUAAUAGCCCAUGUGUAUCCAUAACUGGACAAUCCAUGUUUUCUUAUAGAAUACACUGCACAAAAUACACAAUGAAUUUUUUUCUUAAAUGAUAUAUCAUGUACCUCAAUGGAAAUUUGUGCUUCUUUCUUUGAAAUAAAAAAAAUACAGCCUUUAUUUUGCAUUUUUGUAGAUUGCAGACAUUUGACUGCUAAAGAGACACUAGUCUUUUUCCAGAUCCUUUAUAAAAAUUUAGUUGUGAACUGACAGAGAUAUUUUAGGGACCUAAACUUUACUUCCAAAUUUGAUGUUGCAUGAUUUAUAAAACAUUCAAAUAUGACAAAUCAUAUUUUUCAAAGUAUAAAGGACCCAUAAUGAAAAUUGGAAUUUUCCGUUCAAGUAUAUAUUUUCUCAGUGCAUUUUUGGGGGGGGAAAAAUUGUUUUGUUUUACUAUGGCCAAAGAAUACCAAAAUAGCAUAUCAGAAAAUACGUAAUCGGACGGAAAUUGCCAGUUGUCAUUAAGGGCCCACUACCUUAGAUAUAUCAAGCUAUUG